UUGAAACCAUGGGAAGACUCUGCGACGUUUGCGAGAGCGCAGCGGCCAUUCUUUUCUGCGCUGCCGACGAGGCUGCUAUUUGCAGUUCUUGUGACGAGAAGGUAUACCUACCUUGAUGCCCUCCUAUCAUUUCUUAUCUCCUGCUUCUUCUGGUGUU
Molecule: long non-coding RNA, 157 nt
Organism: Telopea speciosissima
Lineage: Eukaryota; Viridiplantae; Streptophyta; Magnoliopsida; Proteales; Proteaceae
Exons: 3
Source: RefSeq, a predicted model, not a curated record